Lytechinus pictus (painted urchin) is the source of this 2667-nucleotide long non-coding RNA. RefSeq lists it as uncharacterized. The record is from RefSeq and is a predicted model, not a curated record. The transcript is spliced from 3 exons. Lineage: Eukaryota; Metazoa; Echinodermata; Echinoidea; Temnopleuroida; Toxopneustidae.
ACAGACUACGAUUACAGAGUUGAAUGGGGUUGAUAUCGCACCGUCCCGUUUAUUGCAUGAACUUUUCUAGUUUCAAGUCAUCAGGAAUGUUCUGAUUGCCCUAUCCAGGAGGCAGGAGCUAUAACGGAUCUUACUAUUUACUUGAGCUUUUUGGAGACAACAAAAAUACUUCUCAUUAUGUGGAAAUAGAUAGCAUGCAGGAUCUCAUUUGUGACAAGGAUUUGACUGCGAGAAUGCCAUUAAUUUGCAAAACUGUUUCAGCGAGAGAGAGAUUGUGAAGUCUCCUUGGUCUAGCUCCCUGCUGUGAGAGAGAGAGUUGUUCGUUCGGAUAAAGGAGUCAUUGUUAAGCCGGUGGUAUAGGCGUAGUUAUCUUGUCAAGUGGCUGCCUAGUUGCACUGCAGUAUAGUUUCUUAGCGUGUGGAAAGAGUUCUUUGUGAUGACAGAACUGGGGAGUGAUCUAAUUCCGUCAACCAGAGUUCAUAAUAACAGAGGUGAUUGAUAUUGCCCGUAGCAAGUGACCGGACACCAACCCAAGCUAAGGUCAGGUUACCUUGACAACCGUGUUUUCUCAGGUCACUCACAAAACUUGAAAGGCGAUCUCAAGGAAUUUUCUGCUUCUUAAAGAUAGUCUUGGAGCCACAGGCCCGAUUUAGUUUCUGAGUGACAAUGGGUGCGUCAAACAACAAGUUCUGUUCAGCAGAUCGUCUUCUCCCUCGCUGCGAGCCAGGGGACCUCAUCGAAGUUCUUCAUCCCUCCUCGACAUUCAACCACUGGGGCGUGUACGUGGGCGACGGCUAUAUCAUCCACGUUCGGCAUCCAUGGGUGAAGAAAGAAGCAUUGACGCAAGCAGUGAGUGGGAGACUCGUUCGCGUCAACAACGACAAACAUAAGAUUCUAAAAUACAAGCCAUUGCGAGCGGAGAAGAUUGUCAAUACGGCCUACGACCAGGUUGGAUUAGACUGGUAUAACGUUCAGUUUUAUGGUUGUGAAAUGUUCGGAAUUCGGUGCCGUUAUGGGAUUAAGGUGAACGUUGCUGAUCUAUACAGAGAGGUCAUUGCCGAACCUAAAGACACUCCGUAUGCCAUGUGUAACCCCGUCGUCAUGUACGGGCACCAGCAGCAUGAAACCGGGCCUGGGGAACUAGACUAUCAAAGUUAUGAUUGACAGCAUAUGGAAUGGCGAGAUUCACCUCCAUAGUGGGAUUUGAUCAAUGGAUUUGAUCCAAACUCAUUAUGUGCCUUGGCUGAAUUUACACCCGACUGUCAGAAGGAGAUAAUCUAGUCGAAUUUGACAGUAAUCAGUGUUCACUUGGACAACCAUAGUUUCCGGAAAUGAACAUUAUAUCAAACUUUUCUUGUUUAAAGGCAAAGCAUAUAGUGUUUACAGCUAUGAUAUAGGCCUCGCCAUGAUAGUGCCCUUGACAGAUGAAAACUGAACUGAGUGUGUGUGUGGUUUGGUAAUUUGAAAGGGAAAUGUGGUUUGUCUGUGAGCUAAUCUAAAGGUAUUUCGACAAGGUCAUGUGGGUUGACUGGUUCCACAUCAGUUCAGCUGAUAUAUAAUAUAGCAAGCGAUCUUUAAACAAAUUAAUGGACGGGGCGAUGGGAGGGGGGGGGGGGUGAAUGAUAGGUGACGUGGGUAUGUGCAGUCAUGUGCUCCGUUUAGGUACACAUCAAUGUCCCCAGCCCCCAGCCCAUAUCGAUUGAAAAUAUCAAUUGUAUAUCUUUGUUGCCCCAGGUAGGUGUUUCCAUAAAGCUGUUCGUAAGUUACAAGCGACUUUACGAACGACCGGUGGUCCUUUCUUACGAACUGAAUCAACAUCAAUGAAAAUUUGGUGUAUUAUAGCCUAUAUCUUUUACCAACUUCGAAAGUUUCUUGUAACUUAUGAACAACUUUGUGAAACACCCAGCUGGUGCGUGCACACGGAGCUUAACGUCCGUAUCAUACCAAAGAUAAUACUAUUAAUGAUCAUAAUUAUUAAUGAUCAUAUAUUAUUAUGAUCAUUUCACCAAAUUUGUUAUUACAAUUAUACUCUGUUGCUACAAUGAUACAGUAUAUGUGAUGUUUAUUUACCGUUGUAGCACACAAUGCAUUCAUUAGUUUUUAUAUCCUUAAUCUCAUAUUUUUAUGACGAAACCUCAUCUUGAGUAAGUUAUGAUCUUCCAUCACUAUAUGUUUAUCAUUAUUUUAAAAUCACUCAUUUAAUGGUGCUAUUAUGCUAUAUAUGACAUUGUGUUUAAUUAUGCAAAUUUUGCAGUUUAAUAUAUUGUGAGUUUCUACGUUAUUCCUACAAGAAUAUACAUGUACCUCCAUUGCUUGAAUUGUUUAAACUUGUCAUUUAUUAUCAUUGCAUCUGAAAUGAAUGCAUGUUUCAUGCAUAAGCCAGCAUAUUUUUCUUCCAAAUUCACCCCCGCAAAUAUCUGUAAUUCCCUUUUCCCGAAGGUUGUUAUCGAGUCGUCACAUCGCAACUCAUCAAUGCUAGUUCUCUGUCUGUAUGUUUCCAUGAUUAAAUUUCCAUGUCUUGACAAACAGCCAGUAUAACAUUUUAAAACAUAAUUUCAUUCAGGCUGUGAUCCAGAGAGGUGACACCGGGGUACAUGUCCCCUUUUGCUCAAUGCUCCCAUUUCUAUUAAAAUGCGCUUCAUUUAAUUAAAAAUAAUAUUUCUCAUU